UACGGAGGGGGCUAGCGUUGUUCGGAAUUACUGGGCGUAAAGCGCACGUAGGCGGUUUUGCAAGUCAGAGGUGAAAGCCCGGGGCUCAACCCCGGAAUUGCCUUUGAGACUGCAUCGCUAGAAUUGUGGAGAGGUAAGUGGAAUUCCGAGUGUAGAGGUGAAAUUCGUAGAUAUUCGGAAGAACACCAGUGGCGAAGGCGACUUACUGGACACAUAUUGACGCUGAGGUGCGAAAGCGUGGGGAGCAAACAGG
RNAcentral lists this ribosomal RNA (253 nucleotides) under uncultured bacterium. RNAcentral describes it as "partial 16S ribosomal RNA". It matches the Rfam family "Bacterial small subunit ribosomal RNA", at positions 524 to 776 of the family's 1533-position model. The record is from RNAcentral.